GCGCGAAAACUUUACAAUGCAGGAAACUGUGAUAAGGGAACCCCGAGUGCCCGUAUACGCGGGCUGUCCGGGUGUAUAAAAGCAUCUGAAGAAAGGGCCGGGCAAGACCGGUGCCAGCCGCCGCGGUAAUACCGGCGGCUCGAGUGGUGACCACUUUUAUUGGGCUUAAAGCGUUCGUAGCUGGAUUCUUAAGUCUCUUGGGAAAUCCCGCGGCUCAACCCGUGGGGCGUUUAAGAGAUACUGGGAGUCUAGGAACCGGGAGAGGUAAGAGGUACUUCGGGGGUAGAAGUGAAAUUCUGUAAUCCUCGAGGGACCACCGAUGGCGAAGGCAUCUUACCAGAACGGCUUCGACAGUGAGGAACGAAAGCUGGGGGAGCGAACGGGAUUAGAUACCCCGGUAGUCCCAGCCGUAAACGAUGCGCGUUAGGUGUACUGGUGACCACGAGUCACUGGGUGCCGAAGGAAACCGUGAAACNUGCCGCCUGGGAGAUACGGUCGCCAGCU
Molecule: ribosomal RNA, 504 nt
Filed under: uncultured archaeon
Lineage: Archaea
Description: bacterial SSU rRNA
Rfam family: Archaeal small subunit ribosomal RNA
Source: RNAcentral